CCUACGGGAGGCAGCAGUGAGGAAUAUUGGUCAAUGGACGAGAGUCUGAACCAGCCAAGUAGCGUGAAGGAUGACUGGCCUAUGGGUUGUAAACUUCUUUUAUAUGGGAAUAAAAUGUUCCAAGUGUGGGAUUUUGUAUGUACCAUAUGAAUAAGGAUCGGCUAACUCCGUGCCAGCAGCCGCGGUAAUACGGAGGAACCGAGCGUUAUCCGGAUUUAUUGGGGUUAAAGCGCGCGUAGGUGGAUUGUUAAGUCAGUUGUGAACGGUUGCGGCUCAACCGUAAACUGGCAGUUGAAACUGGGAGUCUAGAGUACAGGAGAGGUGGGCGGAAUUCGUGGUGUAGCAGUGAAAUGCUUAGAUAUCACGAAGAACUCCGAUGGCGAAGGCAGCUCACUGGACUGCAACUGACACUGAGGCACGAAGGUGUGGGUAUCAAACAGGAUUAGAUACCCUUGUAGUC
Molecule: ribosomal RNA, 460 nt
Filed under: uncultured bacterium
Lineage: Bacteria
Description: partial 16S ribosomal RNA
Rfam family: Bacterial small subunit ribosomal RNA
Source: RNAcentral